UUUUUCAGAUGCACAAAACAAAAACCAACUCCACUACAGACUCACACUGCACUACACACUUAUCAUACACUCAAAAAACACUAAAUAUGCACAAAUCUGUGAAAUCUUGAAGUUCGCUAAUGCUGCUGCUGUCUCUUUUCCCUCACUGUUACUUCCA
This is a long non-coding RNA of Sphaeramia orbicularis (orbiculate cardinalfish), 157 nucleotides long. RefSeq lists it as uncharacterized. NCBI's taxonomy places the organism in Eukaryota, Metazoa, Chordata, Actinopteri, Kurtiformes, Apogonidae. The record is from RefSeq and is a predicted model, not a curated record. The transcript has 3 exons.